Molecule: ribosomal RNA, 898 nt
Filed under: Ophiognomonia rosae
Lineage: Eukaryota; Fungi; Ascomycota; Sordariomycetes; Diaporthales; Gnomoniaceae
Description: LSU rRNA
Rfam family: Eukaryotic large subunit ribosomal RNA
Source: RNAcentral
UAGCAUAUCAAUAAGCGGAGGAAAAGAAACCAACAGGGAUUGCCUUAGUAACGGCGAGUGAAGCGGCAACAGCUCAAAUUUGAAAUCUGGCUUCGGCCCGAGUUGUAAUUUGCAGAGGAUGUUUAUGGUGCGGUACCUUCCGAGUUCCCUGGAACGGGACGCCACAGAGGGUGAGAGCCCCGUCUGGUUGGAUACCAAACCUGUGUUAAACUCCUUCAACGAGUCGAGUAGUUUGGGAAUGCUGCUCUAAAUGGGAGGUAAAUCUCUUCUAAAGCUAAAUAUUGGCCAGAGACCGAUAGCGCACAAGUAGAGUGAUCGAAAGAUGAAAAGCACCUUGAAAAGGGGGUUAAACAGUACGUGAAAUUGUUGAAAGGGAAGCGUUUAUGACCAGACUUGUGCCGUGUGGCUCAUCCGAGGUUCUCCCCGGUGCACUCCACACGGCUCAGGCCAACAUCGGUUUUCGCUGGGGGAUAAGAACAGUAGGAACGUAGCUCCCCUCGGGGAGUGUUAUAGCCUAUUGUACGAUACCCUGGCGGGGACCGAGGACCGCGCUUCGGCUAGGAUGUUGGCGUAAUGGUCAUUAGCGACCCGUCUUGAAACACGGACCAAGGAGUCGUCCAUUAGAGCGAGCGUUUGGGUGUAAAACCCGCACGCGUAAUGAAAGUGAAAUUAGGUGAGAGCUUCGGCGCAUCAUCGACCGAUCCUGAAGUUUACGGAUGGAUUUGAGUAAGAGUUUUAACGGACGGACCCGAAAGACAGUGAACUAUGCUUGAAUAGGGUGAAGCCAGAGGAAACUCUGGUGGAGGCUCGCAGCGGUUCUGACGUGCAAAUCGAUCGUCAAAUUUGAGCAUGGGGGCGAAAGACUAAUCGAACUGUCUAGUAGCUGGUUACCGCCGAU